CGCGGCCUAUCAGCUUGUUGGUGGGGUGAUGGCCUACCAAGGCGACGACGGGUAGCCGGCCUGAGAGGGUGUCCGGCCACACUGGGACUGAGAUACGGCCCAGACUCCUACGGGAGGCAGCAGUGGGGAAUAUUGCACAAUGGGCGCAAGCCUGAUGCAGCGACGCCGCGUGGGGGAUGACGGCCUUCGGGUUGUAAACCUCUUUCAGUACCGACGAAGCGUGAGUGACGGUAGGUACAGAAGAAGCACCGGCCAACUACGUGCCAGCAGCCGCGGUAAUACGUAGGGUGCGAGCGUUGUCCGGAAUUACUGGGCGUAAAGAGCUCGUAGGUGGUUCGUCGCGUUGUUCGUGAAAACCUGAGGCUUAACCUUGGGCGUGCGGGCGAUACGGGCAGACUGGAGUACUGCAGGGGAGACUGGAAUUCCUGGUGUAGCGGUGGAAUGCGCAGAUAUCAGGAGGAACACUGGUGGCGAAGGCGGGUCUCUGGGCAGUAACUGACGCUGAGGAGCGAAAGCGUGGGGAGCGAACAGGAUUAGAUACCCUGGUAGUCCACGCCGUAAACGGUGGGUACUAGGUGUGGGUUUCCUUCCUUGGGAUCCGUGCCGUAGCUAACGCAUUAAGUACCCCGCCUGGGGAGUACGG
This 643-nucleotide ribosomal RNA is filed under the name uncultured Actinomycetes bacterium. Its description in RNAcentral is "bacterial SSU rRNA". It matches the Rfam family "Bacterial small subunit ribosomal RNA", at positions 232 to 885 of the family's 1533-position model. The record is from RNAcentral. Lineage: Bacteria; Bacillati; Actinomycetota; Actinomycetes.